RNAcentral lists this ribosomal RNA (1257 nucleotides) under Chrysometa alboguttata. RNAcentral's name for it is "SSU rRNA". It matches the Rfam family "Eukaryotic small subunit ribosomal RNA", at positions 24 to 1283 of the family's 1831-position model. The record is from RNAcentral. Lineage: Eukaryota; Metazoa; Arthropoda; Arachnida; Araneae; Tetragnathidae.
UUAUAUGCUUGUCUCAAAGANUAAGCCAUGCAUGUCUAAGUACUUGCCGUAUUAAGGCGAAACCGCGAAUGGCUCAUUAAAUCAGUUAUGGUUCCUUGGAUCGUACUUUACUACUUGGAUAACUGUGGCAAUUCUAGAGCUAAUACAUGCAGCAGAGCUCCGACCUUCGGGGACGAGCGCUUUUAUUAGACCAAAACCGACCGGGCCUCGUGUCCGUGAAACGUGGUGACUCUGUAUAACUUUGGGCUGAUCGCACGGGCUCGUCCCGGCGACGUAUCUUUCAAGUAUCUGCCUUAUCAACUGUCGAUGGUAGGUUACGCGCCUACCAUGGUCGUAACGGGUAACGGGGGAUCAGGGUUCGAUUCCGGAGAGGGAGCCUGAGAAACGGCUACCACAUCCAAGGAAGGCAGCAGGCGCGCAAAUUACCCACUCCCGGCACGGGGAGGUAGUGACGAAAAAUAACAAUACGGGACUCUUUUGAGACCCCGUAAUUGGAAUGAGUACACUCUAAAUCCUUUAACGAGGAUCCAUUGGAGGGAAAGUCUGGUGCCAGCAUCUGCGGUAACUCCAGCUCCAAUAGCGUAUAUUAAAGUUGUUGCGGUUAAAAAGCUCGUAGUUGGAUCUCAGUUCGAGACGGGUGGUCCGCCUACCGGUGGUCACUGCCCGGUCUCAACACCAGCCGGUUUCCCUGGAUGAUCUUCACCGGUUGUCUUGGGUGACCGGCAAGUUUACUUUGAAAAAAUUAGAGUGCUCAAAGCAGGCGCGACGCCUGAAUAAUGGUGCAUGGAAUAAUGGAAUAGGACCUCGGUUCUAUUUUGUUGGUUUUCGGAACCCGAGGUAAUGAUUAAGAGGGACAGACGGGGGCAUUCGUAUUGCGACGCUAGAGGUGAAAUUCUUGGACCGCCGCACGACGAACUACUGCGAAAGCAUUUGCCAAGAAUGUUUCCAUUAAUCAAGAACGAAAGUUAGAGGAUCGAAGGCGAUCAGAUACCGCCCUAGUUCUAACCAUAAACGAUGCCAGCCAGCGAUCCGGCUGUGUUCCUCAAAUGACACGCCGGGCAGCUUCCGGGAAACCAAAGCUUUUGGGUUCCGGGGGGAGUAUGGUUGCAAAGGUUAAACUUAAAGGAAUUGACGGAAGCGCAAACAAGGAGUGGGGCCUGCGGCUUAAUUUGACUCAACACGGCGAAACUUAUCCGGUCCGGACACAGGAAGGAUUGACAGAUUGAGAGCUCUUUCUGAUUCUGUGACAGGUGGUGC